UACGUAGGGGGCUAGCGUUGUCCGGAUUUAUUGGGCGUAAAGAGCGUGUAGGCGGCUCGGUAAGUCCGCUGUAAAAGUCAAAGGCUCAACCUUUGAAUGUCAGUGGAUACUGCCGGGCUAGAGUCCGGAAGAGGCGAGUGGAACUCCUGGUGUAGCGGUGGAAUGCGCAGAUAUCAGGAAGAACACCAACGGCGAAGGCAGCUCGCUGGGACGGUACUGACGCUGAGACACGAAAGCCAGGGGAGCAAAACGGGG
This 255-nucleotide ribosomal RNA is filed under the name uncultured bacterium. RNAcentral's name for it is "partial 16S ribosomal RNA". It matches the Rfam family "Bacterial small subunit ribosomal RNA", at positions 524 to 778 of the family's 1533-position model. The record is from RNAcentral.